Molecule: long non-coding RNA, 425 nt
Filed under: Hordeum vulgare
Lineage: Eukaryota; Viridiplantae; Streptophyta; Magnoliopsida; Poales; Poaceae
Description: long non-coding RNA (HVUL_LNC001093)
Source: RNAcentral
UAUGUGGAUCUGAUCUCCUUCUCGUAGAUGAACAUCACCAUGAUAGGUCUUCGUGUGCGUAGGAAUUUUUUUGUUUCCCAUGCAACGUUCCCCAACAGAAUCAACACGUACACUUCCAUUUGUACCCAUGUUCCUUUCCUGCUUCAAUGUUGCUAUUCCAACCUUGUCUUUGCUCUGGUCCACAAGAUGCCAAGAGGUAGUACCACGCUAGGCAGCGGAAGUACCGCUUACCUCGUAAGCGGUAGUACUGCACUGGGGUGGUGCUACUACUGCUCUCGGGCGGUAGUAGCUCUAUCCAGUGUCACGCAUUGUACCGCUUGCUUUGGGGUCUCGACUUUUCAUGUCGGAUUGAGCGGUUUUUAGUCGAUAGUAGUGCACUGUAAUACCGCUCCCAAGUGGUAGUACCGCCGGCUACUACCACACCC